CCUACGGGAGGCAGCAGUGAGGAAUAUUGGUCAAUGGACGAAAGUCUGAACCAGCCAUGCCGCGUGCAGGAUGACGGCUCUAUGAGUUGUAAACUGCUUUUGUACGAGGGUAAACGCAGAUACGCGUAUCUGUUUGAAAGUAUCGUACGAAUAAGGAUCGGCUAACUCCGUGCCAGCAGCCGCGGUAAUACGGAGGAUUCAAGCGUUAUCCGGAUUUAUUGGGUUUAAAGGGUGCGUAGGCGGUCGGAUAAGUUAGAGGUGAAAUCCCGGGGCUCAACCUCGGAAUUGCCUCUGAUACUGUUCGGCUAGAGAGUAGUUGCGGUAGGCGGAAUGUAUGGUGUAGCGGUGAAAUGCUUAGAGAUCAUACAGAACACCGAUUGCGAAGGCAGCUUACCAAGCUACUGCUGACGUUGAGGCACGAAAGCGUGGGGAGCAAACAGGAUUAGAUACCCCAGUAGUC
Molecule: ribosomal RNA, 460 nt
Filed under: uncultured bacterium
Lineage: Bacteria
Description: partial 16S ribosomal RNA
Rfam family: Bacterial small subunit ribosomal RNA
Source: RNAcentral